GGCCAGACUCCUACGGGAGGCAGCAGUGGGGGAUAUUGCACAAUGGGGGAAACCCUGAUGCAGCGACGCCGCGUGAGUGAAGAAGUAAUUCGUUACGUAAAGCUCUAUCAGCAGGGAAGAAAAUGACGGUACCUGACUAAGAAGCCCCGGCUAACUACGUGCCAGCAGCCGCGGUAAUACGUAGGGGGCAAGCGUUAUCCGGAUUUACUGGGUGUAAAGGGCGUGUAGGCGGGACUGCAAGUCAGAUGUGAAAAUUAUGGGCUCAACCCAUAACCUGCAUUUGAAACUGUAGUUCUUGAGUGAUGGAGAGGCAGGCGGAAUUCCGUGUGUAGCGGUGAAAUGCGUGGAUAUACGGAGGAACACCAGUGGCGAAGGCGGCUUACUGGACUGUAACUGACGUUGAGGCUCGAAAGCGUGGGGAGCAAACAGGAUUAGAUACCCCGGUA
Molecule: ribosomal RNA, 446 nt
Filed under: uncultured bacterium
Lineage: Bacteria
Description: bacterial SSU rRNA
Rfam family: Bacterial small subunit ribosomal RNA
Source: RNAcentral